This 499-nucleotide ribosomal RNA is filed under the name uncultured bacterium. RNAcentral describes it as "bacterial SSU rRNA". It matches the Rfam family "Bacterial small subunit ribosomal RNA", at positions 355 to 870 of the family's 1533-position model. The record is from RNAcentral.
UGGGGAAUAUUGGACAAUGGGCGCAAGCCUGAUCCAGCCAUGCCGCGUGAGUGAUGAAGGCCUUAGGGUCGUAAAGCUCUUUCGCCUGUGAAGAUAAUGACGGUAGCAGGUAAAGAAACCCCGGCUAACUCCGUGCCAGCAGCCGCGGUAAUACGGAGGGGGUUAGCGUUGUUCGGAAUUACUGGGCGUAAAGCGCACGUAGGCGGACCAGAAAGUUGGGGGUGAAAUCCCGGGGGCUCAACCCCGGAACUGCCUCCAAAACUAUUGGUCUAGAGUUCGAGAGAGGUGAGUGGAAUUCCAAGUGUAGAGGUGAAAUUCGUAGAUAUUUGGAGGAACACCAGUGGCGAAGGCGGCUCACUGGCUCGAUACUGACGCUGAGGUGCGAAAGUGUGGGGAGCAAACAGGAUUAGAUACCCUGGUAGUCCACACCGUAAAACGAUGAAUGCCAGUCGUCGGGUAGCAUGCUAUUCGGUGACACACCUAACGGAUUAAGCAUUCC